This is a long non-coding RNA of Ostrea edulis (European flat oyster), 4629 nucleotides long. RefSeq lists it as uncharacterized. The transcript has 3 exons. Lineage: Eukaryota; Metazoa; Mollusca; Bivalvia; Ostreida; Ostreidae. The record is from RefSeq and is a predicted model, not a curated record.
UCCUUUUGUGUUCUCUUGGGUUCUUUUUGGGAAAAUCGACAUAUCGAUAUAUUCUCAACGUUUUAGUCUAACUAAUUUAUCUUUAUUUGUGUGUGUGUGUGUUUUUUUUUUUUUUGGUUGUUUUUUAUUUGUUAUUCAUCUAUUCAGUUUUGUUUUACUUUGGAAUUUAACACACCCUAAAUUCCACCCCCUUUUAAAAAAUAAUACGAAUAAUUUCAUGUUACUAUCCGGAAAUAAAUUCCGAAUAUGCUUUACGUCUUACAAUUUUGGGACACCUAUCGGGAAAAAUAACAAUGGCCGGCCAAACUUCGUGUACAACAGACAGAACAGAAAGCAGUUGACGAAGAUGGAAGAUGACGACAGAAAACAGAAACUAAAGGCCGGAAAACAGAAGUUGGCAGAAUUUCAGAAGAAAAGAAAGAAAAAGAAAACCUUGCCACAAGAAGAAGAUGAAAAAGAAAGUGUUUCCAUGGAAACCAACCAGAGUUCAAAGUUGUAAUGCAUACUAUCAAAACCAAUCAAGAAUUCAAUACUUACCCAUAUAAUAUUUCAAUGCUAUCUCAAGCAGGAAAGAGAGUAUAAAAAGUACUAUUUUUUCCUCUUUUCUGAUGACCUUGACCUUUGACCUUGACCUAAUUUUCAAGGUCAAAGGUCACCGAUCCUAUUCCAGUUGGUCCCAUGUCUCUACGACAAACCGUGCUCAAGCUCGACAUGUUUUACGAAUAAAUCGCAAAACAUAGAGAGGCAUUAACUCCCCUUAGGGGACACCGAAUCCCUUCAUUUGAAAUUCUUCGCUUCUACUAAUUACCCUCUGUGUUUUAGAAAAGGUUUCAUCCUCCUAUCAUUUACGGUUACAAAGUAGAAGUGCUAACAAUGAUUUCUGCGAAAGGUCAAAUAACUCCGUAAGGGGUCAAAGUUCAAUUACGCAGGGUGAACUGUAUUCGUUUCUCAAGAAGUACUAUAUGAUGGACUAUAAAGUUUUUCGAUAAGUCUUAAGACGAAGAUUUUUUUUGACGGCAGGAAAAUAAUAAUAAUAAUAAUAAUAAACAGAACAAUAACAAUAGGACUUUCCACAGAAAGGUGGAAAGCCCUAAUAAUAAACAGAACAAUAACAAUAGGACUUUCCACAGAAAGGUGGAAAGCCCUAACUAGUGAUCCUAAUUGUUCGCGAACAAUUAGAGGGCUUCCCACCUUCUAGCGGUUUUUCAGUAGUGUUGAAAUGCUAAAAGCCCCCCCCCCCCUACCCCACCCCACCCUCACCAAAAAAAAAAAAAAAAAAAAUGGAUUUGGCUAGAAAAGAAAUUCAAAUUUGCCGCCUAAAUUUGAGUGUUGAGGUGUGUUCAAUGCUUGGUUUCGCAUUAAGUACCCGUCAAAUUUGAGGGAGAAAAGGGGUGUGGGUGUUGGGUAGCCAGCACAUAUGCACAUAUCAGGUAAAAGUGUAAUGGGACUUGUGCAGGUGUUUGGGGUGACUUUAGACCUGUUAGAUGUGAUAUUUGGAGGUGCAAAGAAACCGGAUGUGCCAUUUUCCUAGAUUGUAGUAACUGCUGGUGCAUGCUGGGAGUCUAUACAAGCCUCAUGUUGUCAGAUGUUGUGAAGAUGCACUGGAUUUGACCGUGUGUGUUGUGGAUUGUGGAAUUGAAUAUACAGUUUGUAAUGGCUCAUCCUAUGUGUUCUAAUUCACGGAGACAAUGUCUUUCAGUCAUUUCACCCAAGGAGGCAUGCAUAUACGGAUUGAUAGGCUUUGACAACAAACAACCAAAAUGGCGGCCGGUGACCAUUAGAAAGUGUCUGAGUGCAUGUAGGAUAUCUGAACGGAGAAUAGGAGUACUGCAUCCCAUCUGAUCCUGCAGUCAUUUCACCCAAGGAGGCAUGCAUAUACGGAUUGAUAGGCUUUGACAACAAACAACCAAAAUGGCGGCCGGUGACCAUUAGAAAGUGUCUGAGUGCAUGUAGGAUAUCUGAACGGAGAAUAGGAGUACUGCAUCCCAUCUGAUCCUGCAGGUAAGUGUUUAUUUGUUUACAAUGACAGUCGGGAUGGAAUGUCAAUGAGUUCAACUGUCGAGUAAAGUUGCAUCAUCAUUAUCAAAAAAAAAACAACUUAGUCUUUAUGUUGAUGCAGGCAGACAAUUGAAUCUGGCCUAUGUCUUUUCAUGAAUGUAAAUGGAAUUCAUGUUUGAUUGACAAGACAGUCAAGAAAUGGAAGAAGUGGGUGUAGGUCAGAUGUGUAGGUGUAGGUCAGAUUAGCUAGAAUCCUGUAAUUGUUGCAUGGCAUGAGACCGGUCAAAAUAGUGUAUUGAAACAGCUGAUCACAAUCAGAUCACUUGAAGGGUGGGGGAUUUCUUCCUUGGGGACGACAGGCGUGAUGGGUGGGUUGGCCUUACUCGUGGAGACUGGCCCCUGGAUGCGUGACCUUGACCUUUGACCUUGACCCACUUUCAAGGUCAAACCUCAAAAAUCCUGUUGUUGGGCAUGAAACCGGUCAAAAUAGUGUAUUAUAAACAGCUGAUGACAGACAGAUCACUUGAAGGGUGGGGGGUUUCUUCCUUGGGGACGACAGGCGUGAUGGGUGGGUUGGCCUUACUCGUGGAGACUGGCCCCUGGAUGCGUGACCUUGACCUUUGACCUUGACCCACUUUCAAGGUCAAACCUCAAAAAUCCUGUUGUUGGGCAUGAAACCGGUCAAAAUAGUGUAUUAUAAACAGCUGAGGACAGACAGAUCACUUGAAGGGUGGGGGGUUUCUUCCUUGGGGACGACAGGCGUGAUGGGUGGGUUGGCCUUACUCGUGGAGACUGGCCCCUGGAUGCGUGACCUUGACCUUUGACCUUGACCCACUUUCAAGGUCAAACCUCAAAAAUCCUGUUGUUGGGCAUGAAACCGGUCAAAAUAGUGUAUUAUAAACAGCUGAGGACAGACAGAUCACUUGAAGGGUGGGGGGUUUCUUCCUUGGGGACGACAGGCGUGAUGGGUGGGUUGGCCUUACUCGUGGAGACUGGCCCCUGGAUGCGUGACCUUGACCUUUGACCUUGACCCACUUUCAAGGUCAAACCUCAAAAAUCCUGUUGUUGGGCAUGAAACCGGUCAAAAUAGUGUAUUAUAAACAGCUGAGGACAGACAGAUCACUUGAAGGGUGGGGGGUUUCUUCCUUGGGGACGACAGGCGUGAUGGGUGGGUUGGCCUUACUCGUGGAGACUGGCCCCUGGAUGCGUGACCUUGACCUUUGACCUUGACCCACUUUCAAGGUCAAACCUCAAAAAUCCUGUUGUUGGGCAUGAAACCAGUCAAAAUAGUGUAUUAUAAACAGCUGAUCACAGACAGAUCACUUGAAGGGUGGGGGAUUUCUUCCUUGGGGACGACAGGCGUGAUGGGUGGGUUGGCCUUACUCGUGGAGACUGGCCCCUGGAUGCUUGACCUUGACCUUUGACCUUGACCCACUUUCAAGGUCAAACCUCAAAAACCCAUGGGGGAGAAAGUGUGACCUUGACCUUUGACCUUGACCUCAUUUUGAAGGUCAGAGAGGUCACGGGGCUUCGUUUAAGUGGUCCCGCAUCCCUAUCUACAUCCGUGAAGAAGUUGUGGGCUCGAACGACGACGUCGGAGACUUUCGGGGGCGAGAACCGUGCUUCGGGGUUCUCGGUUUCCCUCGGUCAACUUUUCUGUGCGAGAGCGUUUCAUCUGGAAUUCGUCGGCGAAGGUCUCGCCUCUCCACGACUUGCGGUCUAGUGAGAGUAGCGAUAACGGGGUUUUCGACGUUAAGUCGCCGCCAUUCGCAGAGUGGUCAAAGUUCAGAGUUGACAUUCGUGAUGCCGAGACCGGUCCAAAAUUCCUUGCUGACCCAUGUGAUAUUUCGAUGCUAUCUGAAGCGUGAAAGAGCGUAUAAAAAGUGCCAUUUUCUGGCCAUUCUGGAUGACCUUGACCUUUGACCUUGACCUACUUUUUCAAGGUCAAGGUCACCCAACCCGUCCCAGUGGGUUCCGUCUCUCUACGACGAAGACUUUAGGAGUCGUCAAUUUGUAGGGGACAAAUCGCAAAACAUGAGGGGGCAUUAACUCCCUUUAGGGGACACCGAAUCCCUUCAUUUGAAAUUCUUCGCUUCUACUAAUUACCCUCUGUGUUUUAGAAAAGGUUUCAUCCUCCUAUCAUUUACGGUUACAAAGUAGAAGUGCUAACAAUGAUUUCUGCGAAAGGUCAAAUAACUCCGUAAGGGGUCAAAGUUCAAUUACGCAGGGUGAACUGUAUUCGUUUCUCAAGAAGUACUAUAUGAUGGACUAUAAAGUUUUUCGAUAAGUCUUAAGACGAAGAUUUUUUUUGACGGCAGGAAAAUAAUAAUAAUAAUAAUAAUAAUAAUAAUAAUAAUAAACAGAACAAUAACAAUAGGACUUUCCACUGAAAGGUGGAAAGCCCUAAUAACUAGUGAUCCUAAUUGUUCGCGAACAAUUAGAGGGCUUUCCACCUGCAAUGAUUUAAAAAAAGACAUUUAAGAAUAUUUAAGAUGGUGUACGAAACUCGAAAUGACCAAGAAAAUUUAAUUAAUAAUUUUCACGAUGACCUUGACCUUUGACCUUCACCUCAUUUUGAAGGUCAAAGGUCAUCGGUCUUAAUGCAAGUGAUCCCAUGUCUCUAUCUAUAUU